Molecule: long non-coding RNA, 725 nt
Filed under: Homo sapiens (human)
Lineage: Eukaryota; Metazoa; Chordata; Mammalia; Primates; Hominidae
Description: HSALNT0152285
Source: RNAcentral
GCACCGCGCACAGGCUGUGCCAAAGUCCACAGGCACCCUUCGGCCUCCAUCAUCGCGCCCUCUUCACAGAUGAGCAAACGGAGGCCAGACGUCACCGGCAGGCGGCGCUGCGGUGCGCGAGGCCUCGCACCUGCACGGGAAGCAGCGGAGAGGACGCAGUUUCUUACAGGCAAAAUAAAGAGGAUAAUCCUUCCCUCAUAAGACAGCUUUGAGAAUUGAAUGAAAUUGCUCCUCUAGAGUGCCUUCUACAAGUCCAUACUAUCAUGUCUUUGAAGACAGGUCCAUACCUUGGGUGUUUGUAUUUGGACAACCACAGACAUUGCCAAGAAAUGUAUCUGUUCUACUUGCACACCUUCACCACCUGGAUGCUGCUUGAGGACACAGAUCUGGUCCAUCAGAUUUCUCUCUGUACUCCUCUCUAUAUUUCGCCAUAUUUGAUAUAGACCCAUCAAUGGCUCCCUAGAAUAAAAUCUCAACUCUUCACUGUGCCCACAGCCCCAGUGACCUUGCCACUUCCAUCAGAGCCCUCACACCAGUGCCCAGACAUACAGACUGACCUCCUGACCAUCCCCCAGAUGUGCUAAGGCCGGUUCUGCUUCUGGACUUCUGAACAGACAUGUUUGGUAAACCCAAACAUUUCAGAUGGUGAAUAGCUCUGAAAGCAAAGUAAGACAGGGUAGGGCAGGAAGGACUUCCAGCAAAGUCACCCCAGGCUGGCCCCUUUC